GAGCGAUGUUUAUUUUUCUGCCCCGCUGAGUUCCUUCCCUUUUUUUUUCCCCAGCAAAUGUCUUUGAAUCAAUUUGUAAUGCUGCAUCCAAGACAUGGAAUAUUACCUGCAAAACUCCCAUGUGUGACUGAAGCGACCUAGUAUGGAAAUCAAAAACACCUGUGCUGGAUGAAGCUUGGCCUGUGACUGGAACGUUUAGGAAAGCACAUGUAGGAAGUGAGCACAGCAGACUGUAAGGAGCAGACAUUUAUAGGACAACCUUUCAUAAUCACCAGGCAUAUUCAUAAUAAUAAACAACUCAUUGACCAAACCCUGAUGACUUUGAUGGUCAACUUCUUUGAAAUUUAUAGUGAUAAAUAUGCAGAGACAAAGAGCAGGGUUAUAGGACAGCUCAGUGAGAGCCUUAGCAUACACUCAACCAAAGAAUCAUAGAAACAUGGGUAGUUUAUGUUGGAAGAAACCUUAAAGAUUAUCCAGUUCCAACCCCUGCUUAGGGGUGUUUGAUGCAAAGCAACUUGGGGUUUCCUUUUGUACAUGUGGAGUUUUGCAGGGGAUAUAUUUAGUAAAGAGUUCUC
Non-coding RNA from Taeniopygia guttata (zebra finch), 575 nucleotides. NCBI's taxonomy places the organism in Eukaryota, Metazoa, Chordata, Aves, Passeriformes, Estrildidae. The record is from RefSeq and is a predicted model, not a curated record.